Long non-coding RNA from Drosophila navojoa, 102 nucleotides. Lineage: Eukaryota; Metazoa; Arthropoda; Insecta; Diptera; Drosophilidae. The record is from RefSeq and is a predicted model, not a curated record.
ACAACGUCCUCCUGCGGAUCCUCGUGCACAUCGUACUUAAUGUCAUUUUGUUGCUGCUGCUGUUGUUGCUGCUGCUGCUGCUGCUGUUGCUGCUGCUGCUGC